RNAcentral lists this unclassified non-coding RNA (271 nucleotides) under Cladophialophora sp. RNAcentral describes it as "partial contains 5.8S ribosomal RNA, internal transcribed spacer 2, and large subunit ribosomal RNA". The stretch from base 1 to 52 matches the Rfam family "5.8S ribosomal RNA", at positions 103 to 154 of the family's 154-position model. Lineage: Eukaryota; Fungi; Ascomycota; Eurotiomycetes; Chaetothyriales; Herpotrichiellaceae. RNAcentral also lists the same sequence under 3 other names. The record is from RNAcentral.
AACGCACAUUGCGCCUCUUGGUAUUCCGAGGGGCAUGUCUGUUUGAGCGUCAGUACACACCUCCCUCGAGAGUUUCUUCACCGAAGCUCCCCCGGGGUAUUGGGACGGCCUCUGCUCCGGCGCGGGCCUCCCUAAUGUGGCACGCUUGCGGGCCUUCGGUCAGAUGUCAACGUAGUAAAUUUCAACUCGUCGCAGCUGGUCCGGGGGCCUCGCCCGAAAUCAAACUCUAUGGUUUGACCUCAGAUCAGACAAGGAUACCCGCUGAACUUAA